This 161-nucleotide long non-coding RNA is filed under the name Ictidomys tridecemlineatus (thirteen-lined ground squirrel). RNAcentral's name for it is "lncRNA (ENSSTOG00000033545.1)". The record is from RNAcentral. Lineage: Eukaryota; Metazoa; Chordata; Mammalia; Rodentia; Sciuridae.
UUCUCCUACCCCAAUCCACCUCUAGGAGGCUUCACAGGAAGGGAACCUGUGGCCAUGGUGGCUCCAUUCUGGGAUGAUGCUGACUUUUCCGGCCGCAGGGGAACCAUAUUUUACCAGGAAUAUGAGACACUCUAUGAUGAAUACAACCCGACAGUUCAGCA